UCCUUUUGCCUUGGUGGCUCCUUUUCCUUAGUGGUUCCUUUUGCCUUGGUGCUUCUUGUUGCAGCAACACUUGUUCAAAUUGUUGUUAAAUGGCACUUCGUAUAUCAGAAAGAAGGAAAGGAAGAACAAUACUAACCAAUGAGAAUAGGUACCUAACUGCAUUACACAAAACAAAGAAAAUGAAAAUCUCCUUAUCAAUCAGUUGUAAAAUUCUAAUGUAUAGUAAAUUAAUUCUGACAACUUUUCCUAUUUCCUAUUAAUCAUGUGUGAAAUACUUCCAAAGAACAUCUCAAAUUGAAAGAAGAAAUAUAUUUGAAUAUUUUUUUAAAUACCACCUUUGUGGUUUUAUUAUAGGUUGGUCUAAAAAGGUCAACCUAUAAUAAUGAUUUGAGUUCCAAUAUCCCAAGGCUAAUCAGGUCAACUACUUAAUAAUGAUAGGUUGUUUCUCAAUUUGUUGUGCAUGAUUUUUUUUGAUGAACCUAAUUCUCUAGUUCAAAUGGAUUUUUUAUGAUUUGUUGUACAUUCUUAUGUUGUGGUCUUCAACCGUAAACCACAAGUUAUUAUUCAUUACAGAAAAUGUAAAUAAAGAAUCAUUAAAAUGGUUUUGAAUUGCUAUGAUACUUGAUUGUUGCAUUAUGUUUUAUCACUUUAGAGAAAUUUACAUUUUAGAAUUUACAUAUCCAUUGAUUUUUUUAAUGUAGUUUUCUCUCAGUAAAGGCAAGUUAGGAAAAAAAAACAAAUAAAAAUUUUCUCCUAUUAUUUCAUACUUCAACAAAAAAAAAGGUAGCAUAAUGAAAGAAGAUGAGUGCACAAAACAACUUAAUGAAAGGGAAACCACUUAAGCCAAGUCAGCAAAAUGGCAAAUAAGACCACACUAGUCCAUGAUAGAGGGAGAGCAUGCCUCCCACAAAAGGCCAGCAUUUAUAAGUGCUCAAUUCAUUUUCCAAAUUCUCUAAACCCUUUUAACCAUGACAACAGAUUUAACUAAUCCACUGGUAUCCAAAAAUUUUAACUUGGGAGGACCAAAACUCUUAAGACAGUGAAAGGAAUAAAAAAAGUUGAAAUAUGGUUACCUAGUGACAUCACUCUGAUAUCUUCAAAUUUUCUUCAAACCAAAGUGGUUGAUAUGCAAUGGACUGAGCUCGUACUGUUCAAUUUCAGAGAAGCAUAACACUCUUUCAACUUGGCUUAUCAUAGUUGUC
RNAcentral lists this long non-coding RNA (1202 nucleotides) under Phaseolus vulgaris (common bean). RNAcentral describes it as "long non-coding RNA (PVUL_LNC001549)". Lineage: Eukaryota; Viridiplantae; Streptophyta; Magnoliopsida; Fabales; Fabaceae. The record is from RNAcentral.